CCUACGGGAGGCAGCAGUGGGGAAUAUUGCACAAUGGGCGAAAGCCUGAUGCAGCAACGCCGCGUGAGCGAUGAAGGCCUUCGGGUCGUAACGCUCUGUCCUCAAGGAAGAUAAUGACGGUACUUGAGGAGGAAGCCCCGGCUAACUACGUGCCAGCAUCCGCGGUAAUACGUCGGGGGCUAGCGUUAUCUGGAAUUACUGGGCGUAAGGGGUGCGGAGGUGGUUUCUUAAGUCAGAGGUGAAAGGCUACGGCUCAACCGUAGUAAGCCUGUGAAACUGGGAAACUUGAGUGCAGGAGAGGAGAGUGGAAUUCCUGGUGGAGCGGUGAAAUGCGUAGAUAUAAGGAAGAACCCCAGUGGCGAAGGCGGAUGACUGGACGGCAACUGACGGUGAGGCGCGAAAGCGUGGGGAGCAAACAGGAUUAGAUACCCCUGUAGUC
RNAcentral lists this ribosomal RNA (439 nucleotides) under uncultured bacterium. RNAcentral's name for it is "partial 16S ribosomal RNA". It matches the Rfam family "Bacterial small subunit ribosomal RNA", at positions 338 to 795 of the family's 1533-position model. The record is from RNAcentral.